GGAGGUAGUGACAAUAAAUCACAAUGCGGAACUAUUAGUUUUGCAAUUGGAUUGAGAACAAUGUACAAAUGUUAUCGAUAAACAAUUGGAGGGCAAGUCUGGUGCCAGCAGCCGCGGUAAUUCCAGCUCCAAUAGCGUAUAUUAACGUUGUUGCAGUUAAAAAGCUCGUAGUUGAAUUGAAGUGAACUUGGAUUGAUGUGAUCUUCGGAUGACGUGAAUCAAAGUUGACUCUUUCCAAAGUCAAUACAUUGGUAUUCAUUUAUCUUUGUAUUGUGUUUGGUCAUUUACUGUGAGAAAAUUAGAGUGUUCAAAGCAGACGUUUGUUUGAAUACAUUAGCAUGGAAUAAUCAUAUAAGGCUUUCAUGUUGAUUUGAUUGGUUUGAAUAUGGAAGCAAGAUUAAAAGGGACAGUUGGGGGUAUUCAUAUUCAAUAGUCAGAGGUGAAAUUCUGGGAUUUAUGGAAGAUGAACAAGUGCGAAAGCA
Molecule: ribosomal RNA, 482 nt
Filed under: Blastocystis sp.
Lineage: Eukaryota; Bigyra; Opalinata; Blastocystidae
Description: SSU rRNA
Rfam family: Eukaryotic small subunit ribosomal RNA
Source: RNAcentral